GGAGGAACUCUAUGUAGAGUCCAUGGGAUGUCAGGAUUUGAAGUAUUUAUUUACAACUUCAUUUGUCAAAAGCUUUUUACGGCUCAAGAGACUUUGGAUAAAAGAUUGUGGGUUCAUGGAAAGGAUAGUUCUCACAGAAGAAUUCGCAGAAGAAGAGAGACUGGAUAAGAUAAUCUUCUCUCAUUUAGAAAAUUUGACUCUCUUGUAUCUUCCAAAUCUCACAAGUUUU
Molecule: unclassified non-coding RNA, 229 nt
Filed under: Hevea brasiliensis (rubber tree)
Lineage: Eukaryota; Viridiplantae; Streptophyta; Magnoliopsida; Malpighiales; Euphorbiaceae
Source: RNAcentral